UGCGUAGGCGGUUGAUUAAGUUGGAUGUGAAAUACCCGGGCUUAACUUGGGGGGUGCAUUCAAAACUGGUUAACUAGAGUACAGGAGAGGGAAGCGGAAUUCCUAGUGUAGCGGUGAAAUGCGUAGAUAUUAGGAGGAACACCAGUAGCGAAGGCGGCUUUCUGGACUGUAACUGACACUGAGGCACGAAAGCGUGAGGAGCAAACA
This 207-nucleotide ribosomal RNA is filed under the name uncultured bacterium. Its description in RNAcentral is "partial 16S ribosomal RNA". It matches the Rfam family "Bacterial small subunit ribosomal RNA", at positions 568 to 774 of the family's 1533-position model. The record is from RNAcentral.